GACGAACGCUGGCGGCGUGCUUAACACAUGCAAGUCGAACGGAAAGGCCCUGCUUUUGUGGGGUGCUCGAGUGGCGAACGGGUGAGUAACACGUGAGUAACCUGCCCUUGACUUUGGGAUAACUUCAGGAAACUGGGGCUAAUACCGGAUAGGAGCUCCUGCUGCAUGGUGGGGGUUGGAAAGUUUCGGCGGUUGGGGAUGGACUCGCGGCUUAUCAGCUUGUUGGUGGGGUAGUGGCUUACCAAGGCUUUGACGGGUGGCCGGCCUGAGAGGGUGACCGGCCACAUUGGGACUGAGAUACGGCCCAGACUCCUAUGGGAGGCAGCAGUGGGGAAUAUUGCACAAUGGGCGGAAGCCUGAUGCAGCAACGCCGCGUGCGGGAUGACGGCCUUCGGGUUGUAAACCGCUUUCGCCUGUGACGAAGCGUGAGUGACGGUAAUGGGUAAAGAAGCACCGGCUAACUACGUG
This 468-nucleotide ribosomal RNA is filed under the name uncultured bacterium. RNAcentral's name for it is "partial 16S ribosomal RNA". It matches the Rfam family "Bacterial small subunit ribosomal RNA", at positions 28 to 507 of the family's 1533-position model. The record is from RNAcentral.